AUUCCACCAUGUUGCUGUGUUUAGUUCAACCAGUGCUGAUAGGGACAUGUUUGCACUUGUCUCUCAGUGAACAUUCGCAAGAGAUUUUCUAGCCCUCCAGGCAGAAGCCGCUGCUGACGGGGAGAGUCUGCUGGAGGAAGUCGCACGGCAGAUGCCAGAGGACCAGCCUGGGAGAGCCUUUCUAGCAACCAGGACACCUGACGCAGUGCCCGCUUUCUCCAGGAAACAAGGACACCUGCACGGGCGCCCACACAAGAGUCGGCGACCAGCCUAGGCUGUGGGAUUCCUGCAACGCGUGUUCCUGCUGAGGUUCUCCUUCCUGCUGUUCUGAGCUAUGGUGUGGAUCACGCUCCCCAUAUGUGGAGUCCAGGGACAGCGCAGCCCGGGGCCUGCCCACCCAGCCAGGAAGUCUGACUUUCAGAGAACUGGGAAGACCAUCUUCCACUUUACCCCGUCUGGGAGACUGUAAACAUGGAUUCCACUGUCUCGGACAGUAAGAUGAUUCCCAGUCUUUUCCUGUUGCUCCUCUAGAUGCUGUUGUGGACGCAGUGAAGUCUGGCGAUGGCUGCUUCACAGGCCGUUAGGAUGGUGAAGUGAAACAAUGUGAAUGGAGUGUUUUGUGAGGCCCAGUGCUGCAUAAAUGCUAGCCAUUAUCUAAUAGCAAGAAUUGCUUGAAAUGUUUCUUUCUCUCAAAUUUAUGAAAAGAUUAGAAAAUAGUUCUAAAAAUUAAAAAUGGUUCUGGUCGGAGUGGCUUACAUGAUGGCAGUGAAAGUGUGCACAGAUUCACGGGUCCCACCACGUGCGCUUGGCGUGGAGAGAAUAAAAUGUGGAAGCCAGUGACACCAAGGACACCCCUGUGAGCCACGCUGGGUGCAGCCCCCACGGCCGGUGGGCAGUGACACCGC
Molecule: long non-coding RNA, 905 nt
Filed under: Pongo abelii (Sumatran orangutan)
Lineage: Eukaryota; Metazoa; Chordata; Mammalia; Primates; Hominidae
Description: lincRNA
Source: RNAcentral